This 775-nucleotide ribosomal RNA is filed under the name uncultured Neocallimastigales. Its description in RNAcentral is "partial large subunit ribosomal RNA". It matches the Rfam family "Eukaryotic large subunit ribosomal RNA", at positions 24 to 640 of the family's 3401-position model. Lineage: Eukaryota; Fungi; Neocallimastigomycota; Neocallimastigomycetes; Neocallimastigales. The record is from RNAcentral.
UAUCUCUGUAGAGUCUGCAUAUCAAUAAGCGGAGGAAAAGAAACUAACAAGGAUUCCCUCAGUAACGGCGAGUGAAGCGGGAAGAGCUCAAAUUUGAAAUCUUCAAGGUUCUACCUUGACGAAUUGUAGUUUAAAGAAGUGUUUUCUGUUGGUAGUUUUGGUAAAAGUUCUUUGGAAUAGGACAUCAUAGAGGGUGAGAAUCCCGUAUUUGACCAUUAUUUCCAGCUUUGUGAUACACUUUCAAAGAGUCGGAUUGUUUGGGAAUGCAGUCCAAAAUGGGUGGUAAAUUUCAUCUAAAGCUAAAUAUUGGCGAGAGACCGAUAGCGAACAAGUACCGUGAGGGAAAGAUGAAAAGAACUUUGAAAAGAGGGUUAAACAGUACGUGAAAUUGUCAAAAGGGAAGCGUUUGACACCAGUGUUGUUUUCACGAAAAUCAAUUAAAAAAAGUUGGAUUUUGUAUUGUUAAGACCUUAUCAGCUUACUGUACUCUUUUCUUGCUUUUUUUAAUGCACUUUUCGUUUAACAAGUCAACAUCAAUUUCUUUUGUUGUAAAAGAGUCAUUGGAAGGUGGCUUUCACUUCGGUGAAAGUGUUUAUAGCCUUUGGCUUCUGCAAUCGGAGAGAUUGAGGUCUGCAGCGUAGAUCCUUCGGGGCUAGAUACGUAGAUGCUAAGUUAUAGUUUUUUAUAGACAACUUGUUGACUAUAAUUAAUCAUGUAGCUUACUCGUUUGCGCUAUUUUACCUACGCUUAGGAUGUUGAUAUGCAUGACUGAUAU